This 1538-nucleotide small RNA is filed under the name Mus musculus (house mouse). RNAcentral's name for it is "GATA1 activated lncRNA". The record is from RNAcentral. Lineage: Eukaryota; Metazoa; Chordata; Mammalia; Rodentia; Muridae.
CAGGGCUGUAGGCAAGAGUUGCUUUGGGCUGUGGGGACAUCAGAUGGAGCUGUUACUGAUGGGGGUUGAGUGGAGAUCUCUCUGGUUGCUCUAUGGAAGGCUGAUGGUGGAAGGAGGAUUCUGGAGGUCUGCUGUGUGUGGGGAGGGGGUUCCAUCCAUGCCCCAAAUUUACUCAGUGGCUACAGGGUCUUGGGAAGUCACCCUCCCCAGUUUGUUUUCUUCUGCUCAUGUUUAGCUUAAGAGACCAUGAUUGCUCUCAGGGAGUUAUAUCUGCAUGUAUGUCUGCAUAGCAUGUACCUUCCUGGUACCUCUGGAAGCCAAAAGAAGGCCUCAGCUAUCCUGGAACUUGAGUUACAGAUGGUUGUGAGCCACCACAUAGGAAUGUUGGGAACUGAACCUGGGUCCUCAGGAAGACUGGCCAGUGUUCUUAACUGCUGAGUCAUCUCUCCAGCCUUGCACAGGUAGAUCUUAUAAUCUGUUUCUCAAACACGGAGGAUAGAGACACAUUAACCACGCAAUCGCCGACUUGACUUCUGUCUGACAAGCCAGGUUCCAAUCCCGGGAGACUUAAGUCUUGGCGUUGGCUGCGUCCCUCCUCACAGUGUCGACAUUCACUUUAAAACUGCAGAACUGUGCAAUAUGCUUUAACCACAAACCAUCACAGUGCCUGGCAGAGCAGAUGCUCCGGGAGAGGAUGUCUUUGAAAGACUAAGACAAACAUUAAAUUAAUCAGCCAAUGAUCUUGGGGGGGGGGGGCGGGAAAUGGUCACUAAUUUCAAAUUUUUCAUCUCUGGAAAAAUCAAUUAUUAUUCUGUUUAUUUGUCACUGUUUCCAGCCAUUUCACCGGAUGACAGGGGUUCAAACGAGAGCAUUGUUAUAAAAGAGGUUAGGCAUGCUGGAUUCUGUCCCUGGACUUUCCACCUCACAGCUACCUGGGGUUUAGGAGACAGAUUAACUGCUGUGGGGGCAAAGGCUGGGCUUGUGUUUCUUUGUUCUUCCCUCUGCUGAUUGCUUUGGACUCUGUAAGAUUUUGAAUAUUUAGUUAAGUACCAGUUAAUGCCUGUUAUUCCCUGGGCAGGAUUUUGGAGGCAUGUAUAUGAAGUGAAUACUCUCCUGAAGCAAGUUGGGGCUUGGAACUUUUUUCCUUACCCCCCAAAGAUCCUCAGAAUGUUGCUUCACUCUCAGGUAAAGCUCUCCGAGAUCAGAGAAGAAGAUUAAAGACAUUCUGCUGAUAUGUUUAAUGGCCCCAGUAGCCCUGACUCAUAGUCAAAGCUGUGUGCGAACAUUGUUCCCCGCUCCGCUCUGCUCCCUGUUGGAUGACUCUUGUCCUUUUGAAGUACUUGGUGAUUUGGGGUUCCCAUGACAGAGAUCUAGGCAGGUUUAGCAAUAAUAGCCCCACACAGGCCGCUCUCCCAUUUGGUUGCAUGCAUUUUUAAUGUGUGCGAUUAUGCAAACCACAGUAAAAUGUAAGGCUUAUGUACAUCCUUACAUAAAUUAUUAUAAAGUCACAGGCAUUGUUCCAUUAUGUUCAUUAACUG